Molecule: ribosomal RNA, 253 nt
Filed under: uncultured bacterium
Lineage: Bacteria
Description: partial 16S ribosomal RNA
Rfam family: Bacterial small subunit ribosomal RNA
Source: RNAcentral
UACGUAGGGUGCAAGCGUUGUCCGGAAUUAUUGGGCGUAAAGGGCUCGUAGGCGGUCCAUCGCGUCGGGAGUGAAAAGCUGGGGCUUAACCCCAGUCCUGCUUCCGAUACGGGUGGACUAGAGGUAGGCAGGGGAGAACGGAAUUCCUGGUGUAGCGGUGAAAUGCGUAGAGAUCCGGAGGAACACCGAAGGCGAAGGCAGUGUCCUGGGGAGUACCUGACGCUCAGGUGCGAAAGCCAGGGGAGCGAACGGG